This 253-nucleotide ribosomal RNA is filed under the name uncultured bacterium. RNAcentral's name for it is "partial 16S ribosomal RNA". It matches the Rfam family "Bacterial small subunit ribosomal RNA", at positions 524 to 776 of the family's 1533-position model. The record is from RNAcentral.
UACAGAGGGUGCAAGCGUUAAUCGGAAUUACUGGGCGUAAAGCGUGCGUAGACGGUCAUGUAAGUCGGGUGUGAAAGCCCCGGGCUCAACCUGGGAAUUGCAUUCGAGACUGCGUAGCUAGGGUGCGGAAGAGGGAAGCGGAAUUUCCGGUGUAGCGGUGAAAUGCGUAGAUAUCGGAAGGAACACCAGUGGCGAAAGCGGCUUCCUGGUCCAGCACCGACGUUCAGGCACGAAAGCGUGGGGAGCAAACAGG